Molecule: ribosomal RNA, 900 nt
Filed under: Clostridioides difficile
Lineage: Bacteria; Bacillati; Bacillota; Clostridia; Peptostreptococcales; Peptostreptococcaceae
Description: partial 23S ribosomal RNA
Rfam family: Bacterial large subunit ribosomal RNA
Source: RNAcentral
UACCAAAAACAUAGGUUUCUGCUAAGUCGCAAGACGAUGUAUAGGAGCUGACGCCUGCCCGGUGCUGGAAGGUUAAGGGGAUCUGUUAGAGCAAUCGAAGCAGUGAACUUAAGCCCCAGUAAACGGCGGCCGUAACUAUAACGGUCCUAAGGUAGCGAAAUUCCUUGUCGGGUAAGUUCCGACCCGCACGAAAGGCGUAACGAUUUGGGCACUGUCUCAACAACAGACUCGGUGAAAUUGUAAUUCCGGUGAAGAUGCCGGAUACCUGCGACAGGACGGAAAGACCCCAUGGAGCUUUACUGUAGCUUGACAUUGGGUCUUGGUACUACAUGUACAGGAUAGGUGGGAGGCUUUGAAACCAGGACGCCAGUUUUGGCGGAGCCAUCCUUGGGAUACCACCCUUGUAGUACUGGGACUCUAACCAUAGGCCAUGAAUCUGGUCUUGGGACACUGUCAGGUGGGCAGUUUGACUGGGGCGGUCGCCUCCCAAAAGGUAACGGAGGCGCUCAAAGGUUCUCUCAGUACGGUCGGAAAUCGUACGUAGAGUGUAAAGGCAAAAGAGAGCUUGAUUGCAAGACAUACAGGUCGAGCAAGGAUGAAAAUCGGACUUAGUGAUCCGGUGGUUCUGCGUGGAAGGGCCAUCGCUCAACGGAUAAAAGCUACCCUGGGGAUAACAGGCUUAUCUCCCCCAAGAGUCCACAUCGACGGGGAGGUUUGGCACCUCGAUGUCGGCUCAUCACAUCCUGGGGCUGUAGUAGGUCCCAAGGGUUGGGCUGUUCGCCCAUUAAAGUGGUACGCGAGCUGGGUUCAGAACGUCGUGAGACAGUUCGGUCCCUAUCCGUCGCAGGCGUAGGAAAUUUGAGAAGACCUGUCCUUAGUACGAGAGGACCGGGAUGGACG